Molecule: non-coding RNA, 816 nt
Organism: Oncorhynchus mykiss (rainbow trout)
Lineage: Eukaryota; Metazoa; Chordata; Actinopteri; Salmoniformes; Salmonidae
Source: RefSeq, a predicted model, not a curated record
AUCGAUAUUGUAACACAGAUUGCAUUAAAAGACAAUUGUAACAUUAUCAAAACUAAGAACAUAAAAAUGAAUAAUACAUAAAAUAUUGAAUAAAACAUGAGUCGAUGCAAAUAACAGAAUAAAACAAUGUGAUCACUAAGACACAUAGUAGUUGUACUCUGAUGAAGUAAAACACAAAGAAAAGUCUUCAAGUGUAAAACGUAGUUUAAUUAGAGAGAAAAUCAGUGUUGUAAAUAAAGACUUUGUCUACAGAAACAAAAUCCUAAUAAACAGUGAGUUCACCAGUAGUAAUAACACUAUACCUUCAGAUACUCCUAGACCUUGGACCUCUCACUCACAUCUAGGGCCCAGAGGUUUUCCUUAACCCAGCCACAUUUAGGGUCCAGAGGUUUUCCUUAACAUGUGAACCAACCACAUCUAGGGCCCAGAGGUUUUCCUUAACAUGUGAACCAACCACAUCUAGGGCCCAGAGGUUUUCCUUAACAUGUGACCCAACCACACCUUGGGCCCAGAGGUUUUCCUUAACCCAGCCACAUUUAGGGUCCAGAGGUUUUCCUUAACAUGUGAACCAACCACAUCUAGGGCCCAGAGGUUUUUCUUAACUGGUGAACCAACCACAUCUAGGGCCCAGAGGUUUUCCUUAACCCAGCCACAUUUAGGGUCCAGAGGUUUUCCUUAACAUGUGAACCAACCACAUCUAGGGCCCAGAGGUUUUUCUUAACUGGUGAACCAACCACAUCUAGGGCCCAGAGGUUUUCCUUAACCCAGCCACAUUUAGGGUCCAGAGGUUUUCCUUAACAUGUGAACCAACCACAC